RNAcentral lists this unclassified non-coding RNA (1657 nucleotides) under Hevea brasiliensis (rubber tree). Lineage: Eukaryota; Viridiplantae; Streptophyta; Magnoliopsida; Malpighiales; Euphorbiaceae. The record is from RNAcentral.
UUUCUACCCUCUAUUUUAUAUCUUGAAUUAUGGCCAUUAAAAUUAUGGCUGGAAGUCCUAUAAAUACUACCCUUUCAUUCUUCAAAAGAAAGGAGUAGAAAAUUGGGUGAAAAGUGAAAAAUAAAGAAUAUCAAAUCACUUGCUGUCUCCAAAAUGACAUAGUUCUCUCUCAUUGCUGCCUGCCUGUCCUUCUUACCCAACGCCACUCUCACCUUGAAUAUUAUCUGCACAACAACGAUCCCAUCCAAGUUCAACUCCAUAAUCAAUCAUUCUCGUCUCCAUAUACCAUUUUUUUUUACUUUUUCCCUCAUCACCGACAACGCCUUGUUCCUUGGUCUAGCACCACAUUCGGCAAGUUCUUUUGAAGAGCCAUUUAUGCAACUCCUUUUCCCUCACCACUUUCAUGCAACUCCUUUUCCCUCACCACUUUCCUCUCCUUAUCAUCCAGCAAUAACACGAGAUGUCUGUAACAAGGAGACAUCUCGAGUUCAUUCUCAUUCUUUUGGCAAUACCAGUAUGUAGUUCAUCCCAACUCCUAUUAUUGACUCCUUUGAUAGUAUAGGUAAUUAUGGAUUCUGUGUUUUCAUUUUGAACAGUAUUAAAGGUCGGAUAUCCUUCAGUAAUACUUUUUUUUUAUUGAUUUAAAAAAUGUAUUUUGAUGUUUGUGGGACAUUGCCGUUGCCUUAGAAAUGCAGUUUCAUUCAAGUUAUAUAUCUCGUUCGAGAGACAUAUGUGUCCACCUUUGAGUUCUUAGUGAUUGCUGGUCUAAAAUUUGGAGUACAAUCUUUAAUUUGUCGGCUUUACAUGGGAUUUAAAUUGAAUUGAGCUGGUUGUGUCUUUAUGGGAAUGCUUGCAAUACAUAUAUGUUCAAAUAAUGGCAUUAGAUUCGCUCCAACAGUGUUAAUGUUACAAUGUUAUCAUUAUCAUCAUUCAUAGUUUUUUAGUAGACCGACAAAGGGUUGUCACUUGUCUCAAAUGCACAAUCUGGAUCAUAGUUACCAGAUUCGUUCACAUUCUCUAGGUUCCGCGUUCCGGAUCGCAAGUCCCAGAUGGCGAGACAACUGCGUCUUAAAAAGCUAGGAGACGUUCUAAAUGCCAAAUUCUAGCGAACCCAUUCGAUUCAGUCAACACUCUGUCAUUACGCUGUCAUUGUGAAUAUAAAAUCAAAAAUCAAAGAAGGAAAAACAGAUGUAAGAAGAAAAAAAGACAAUAAAUUUAAAGAAUUACAAUUCAAAAUUUCAAAUGAUUGAUUUUCUCUGUUUUCUGCCGUGAGUUUCAAUUUCUAUGCUGCCAAAUCCUUUCUGCCAUUGAUGGGAGAGCUAACAAUGAAAUGACAGAGAUAGAAUCAUAAGUUCAUAACCAACAGAAUCAUCAUAAAGUGACAAUCUAAACAAAUUACCUUUUAAAAUGAGAAAGGACACGAAAAACAGAAGAAAUUUCUAGAUAGACCAAGCAACAAAAAAACAAUUUUGAAAUAUUAGAAACUUGAAAGUUGGAUUGCUAAUAAUUGAAAUGAAGAAAGCAGAAGCUUCUAGCAAUCUAGUUUUGACAGAGAUGGAUACACACUUUCUCAGAUUCUCCAGCAAUCUUUAGAUGAGAUGGGGAUAUGAGAUGGAAAGCAAAGAAAGAAGAAGAGAGUUGAGGAAGAUAAGGAUGA